This 465-nucleotide ribosomal RNA is filed under the name uncultured bacterium. RNAcentral describes it as "partial 16S ribosomal RNA". It matches the Rfam family "Bacterial small subunit ribosomal RNA", at positions 28 to 507 of the family's 1533-position model. The record is from RNAcentral.
GACGAACGCUGGCGGCGUGCUUAACACAUGCAAGUCGAACGGAAAGGCCCUGCUUGCAGGGUACUCGAGUGGCGAACGGGUGAGUAACACGUGGGUGAUCUGCCCUGCACUUCGGGAUAAGCCUGGGAAACUGGGUCUAAUACCGGAUAGGAGCCAUUUUUAGUGUGAUGGUUGGAAAGUUUUUUCGGUGUAGGAUGAGCUCGCGGCCUAUCAGCUUGUUGGUGGGGUAAUGGCCUACCAAGGCGGCGACGGGUAGCCGGCCUGAGAGGGUGGACGGCCACAUUGGGACUGAGAUACGGCCCAGACUCCUACGGGAGGCAGCAGUGGGGAAUAUUGCACAAUGGGCGCAAGCCUGAUGCAGCGAGGCCGCGUGGGGGAUGACGGCCUUCAGGUUGUAAACUCCUUUCGCUAGGGACGAAGCUUUUUGUGACGGUACCUAGAUAAGAAGCACCGGCUAACUACGUG